CCUUCCUAUCUUUACCUUUUUUCUCUCCUUGUCUUCCUUAAAUCUUUUCCUAGGCUCUUGUCCUAAAAUCGGACUUAUCCUUACAAUUUUUGGACUUAUCCUAACAAGAGAAGGAAGAGACUAAUUGGAUAAAAGGGUGAGUGUGUAAGAAAGAAGAGAUAAGAAUGAGAGAUCUGAAUGAAACAAAUCCCUGGUGCAACCCCUUUAAAUAGUUAGCGAUGGGAUGCCUAUGGAUUUUUCCCGUGCCCUCUCCACGCACCAUCUC
RNAcentral lists this long non-coding RNA (265 nucleotides) under Elaeis guineensis (African oil palm). RNAcentral describes it as "long non-coding RNA (EGUI_LNC015458)". The record is from RNAcentral. Lineage: Eukaryota; Viridiplantae; Streptophyta; Magnoliopsida; Arecales; Arecaceae.